GCUGGUCAAAUGGAACCAAGUC
RNAcentral lists this microRNA (22 nucleotides) under Danio rerio (zebrafish). RNAcentral describes it as "dre-miR-133b-5p". Its record names the gene dre-miR-133b-5p. RNAcentral also lists the same sequence under 1 other name. The record is from miRBase by way of RNAcentral. Lineage: Eukaryota; Metazoa; Chordata; Actinopteri; Cypriniformes; Danionidae.